RNAcentral lists this ribosomal RNA (493 nucleotides) under Lepas sp. eL10j11_08. RNAcentral's name for it is "partial 16S ribosomal RNA". It matches the Rfam family "Bacterial large subunit ribosomal RNA", at positions 1842 to 2597 of the family's 2925-position model. Lineage: Eukaryota; Metazoa; Arthropoda; Thecostraca; Lepadidae. RNAcentral also lists the same sequence under 6 other names. The record is from RNAcentral.
UAUAUAAGGAGGUAAGGCCUGCUCACUGAAUUUUGAAGAGCCGCAGUAUCCUGACUGUGCUAAGGUAGCAUAAUAAUUUGUCUCUUAAUUGGGGACUAGAAUGAAUGGUCUAACGAGAAAUUAACUUUUUUAGGAAUAAUAAUUAAACUUAAUUUUUUAGUGAAAAAGCUAAAAUAAGAUAAAAAGACGAGAAGACCCUAUAGAGUUUUAUAUAUAAACUAUUUACAUUUUAAUAACUUUUUAGAAUUGUAAAUAAAGACUAUAUUUUGUUGGGGCGACAUUUAGAUAAAAAAAACUUUUUAUAUUAAAAACUCAAAUUUGAGUAUUUACUGAUCCUUAAAAAAGAUUAAAAGUAUAAAUUACCUUAGGGAUAACAGCGUAAUCUCCCUUGAGAGCUCAAAUCGACAGGGAGGUUUGCGACCUCGAUGUUGGACUAAAAUUAAACUAAGGUGCAGAAGUCUUAGAUUUAGGUCUGUUCGACCUAUAGAUUUUU